GACGAACGCUGGCGGCGUGCUUAACACAUGCAAGUCGAACGAAGAGCGAUGGAAGCUUGCUUCUAUCAAUCUUAGUGGCGAACGGGUGAGUAACGCGUAAUCAACCUGCCCUUCAGAGGGGGACAACAGUUGGAAACGACUGCUAAUACCGCAUACGAUCUAACCUCGGCAUCGAGGAAAGAUGAAAGGUGGCCUCUAUUUAUAAGCUAUCACUGAAGGAGGGGAUUGCGUCUGAUUAGCUAGUUGGAGGGGUAACGGCCCACCAAGGCGAUGAUCAGUAGCCGGUCUGAGAGGAUGAACGGCCACAUUGGGACUGAGACACGGCCCAGACUCCUACGGGAGGCAGCAGUGGGGAAUCUUCCGCAAUGGACGAAAGUCUGACGGAGCAACGCCGCGUGAGUGAUGACGGCCUUCGGGUUGUAAAGCUCUGUUAAUCGGGACGAAAGGCCUUCUUGCGAACAGUUAGA
This 467-nucleotide ribosomal RNA is filed under the name Veillonella parvula. RNAcentral's name for it is "bacterial SSU rRNA". It matches the Rfam family "Bacterial small subunit ribosomal RNA", at positions 28 to 472 of the family's 1533-position model. The record is from RNAcentral. Lineage: Bacteria; Bacillati; Bacillota; Negativicutes; Veillonellales; Veillonellaceae.